UGAGAGAAACCCACUGGUGAGUGCAAGGGAGAUGUGUGCCUCUGUGCAGCUGCUCCUGGCAGGCUGCAAAGGGCACAGGGAUUCUGCCGGGGAAAACAGGCACAGGCUGCUGUGGAGAAGGCCAGGAGGGAUGGGUGGCACAAACAGCUCGUGCCUCACGGGUGGUAAUCUCAGUGUCUGGCACAGAAUGUCGUUGGUCUGAGCUGGAAUCCAGGGCCACUUUAGUGCAUUACUCUUGAAAAUGCUGUUAACUUUGGAAACAUCUGUUUGGAAAUGGUAUCUCUCUGAGCACAAAAGGGGAUGUCAGAAGACUUCUGGGAACCUUGAGCUUUCUGUCAACGAAAGGAAAGCUGGCAUUUGAAGAGUGGUUGCAAGGAUUGAAACUUACAUUAAAACAUAAGGAAAUGACAAUGCCAAAUUGCCUGGAUGGCACCAAACAUCUGAACCUGGGCCAUUGUGGCACUGCAUGUAAAUCAGUGAAGAGGAAGGACAGGCAAGGCAGGCUGUGCCAGGGAGCCUGAGGUUUGACAGAACAGUUGCUUUCAACUCUCAGACUGCUUACCUUAAAGAGGAGGGUUUCUCCCCACCAGAGGAACCAGUUGUUUAACUGUCAGCCUGAUCUGAACUAGAGAUUUCUUGCAAAGCUUUUACCUUUGGGCCAAUAAUUUGUAGUUUGAAAGGUUCUCUUACCUUGAUCCUUUUAAAUUUGGAGGUGAACAUGUAAUUUGCUUUUUCUUUUUUCUCCAAAAGCCCAGCAUUUCAGCUGGAGAGUGGUAGCUGUCCCUAAAGAAAUAACUAGAGCAGGGUUGAGCUGUUUAAGGAUUUUUAGGUUUCCCUGUUGUGGUUUGCUUUGGGUUUUUUUAAAAAUGUUUCUUGCCUGCUUCCUGGGACAGAGAAAACAGUUAUGGAGCUCUGGACGGCAGGCAGAAUCCUCUCCAAGCCCAAGGCUGAUGGAGUCUGGCAGGAUCCCAGCACUACAGCCGAUAGAUGAGCUUCACCCACCUCAAUUCACUCCCCAACCACCAAAGGAGAUGAGAACAUGUUUGCAUUGCCCAGCGUCUCGAUGGAGGCACUUCAAGGCUGGAAAGCAGGAGGCAGCCACAGCCCUGACUGAAGAGCAGGAUUUGACCCAGUCUUCAGGAGCAGAGGCUUCCAGUAUCCUGCCAGUGUCAGGUGUGUUGCAGCCAGGAGAGAGCCAGCAGGUCUCCUUGCC
Passer domesticus (house sparrow) is the source of this 1213-nucleotide long non-coding RNA. RefSeq lists it as uncharacterized. The transcript is spliced from 3 exons. The record is from RefSeq and is a predicted model, not a curated record. NCBI's taxonomy places the organism in Eukaryota, Metazoa, Chordata, Aves, Passeriformes, Passeridae.